Molecule: non-coding RNA, 28 nt
Filed under: Mus musculus (house mouse)
Lineage: Eukaryota; Metazoa; Chordata; Mammalia; Rodentia; Muridae
Source: RNAcentral
UCAAUUCUUGUGCUUGACUAUUUUGAGG